AGCUGCACAAAGAUAAAAUCUAAGAGUUACAACCAUCUCCACGUUUCCACUUCUGAACCCAGCAUACACCCACCUCAGAAUAUGGAGACAGUUAUGUGCUAAAGGGAUGUAGUUUAUAAUAGCUCAAAACUGAAGCUAAAUUUUAAAAAAGGAAAUAAAAAGAAAAGGAAAGGGGAAAAAAUACAGAAUCCUUCAGGAUACAUUAUAAAUGGCACUCUCAAGAAAAGAGCAUUUAGAGAAAGAAAACAGGCAAUAUUCAGAGUUUGUCAAAGCAAGCUGUGGGCAUAAGUACAGGAGGCAGAUGUCAGUGGGAGACCACAGGCUUAGUAAUGCAAGGCUCUGGAGUGGGGAAAUUCAGUUUUACAUUUUUCAGUCUUCAUAGAGGUUCUAUGGAAACUACACACACUUAACACAAUGCACAUGAUGCACAUGAUGCACACAAGUAAACAACACUGAUAUCCUCGGAAAGCAAUGCAAAGCACAUGCAACCAACAGGCAGCAAAUGGCAGACCAGACGAACGCAUCAUGUCCAUGGGAAAUUUAACUACAUAGAUGGGAAUCUGGGAAAAGGCUACACACACUUGAAAUCACUACAGCACUGCAUAGAUAAUGCCGAUCCUCUUAAAGGGCCUUAUCUGCAGCUCCUUAAGUCCCUCUGCAUCCCUUCCUGCCCUUCCUGGGGAAUGAGCGAGGGCUUCAUGCUUGCUGAGGAAGUGCUCACUACUGAACUCCGUCUCCCUGCUUCUCUUAUUUUCUAAAGUAAAAUGUCAUAGGUUAGUUUUGUAUUAACUUCUUUUCAAUGUAUACCCUAAAAAUUAAGUUAACUCAGCAGCUAAUUCAGACUCAGGAUAUAAGCCCUCUUAUGAAAACACUCAACACACUAAAGUCAUUUGCUCAAAUUAUAAACUGUGAAGAUGGAAAAACAUUACAGAAGAUAAGCUUCCUGGAAUUAUUUGAUACAGGAGGAAAUUCUGGUCUUUAAAAAAUAAAUCCUGAUAAACUUGGACAUUUUACACCAUGAUAAAUCUAAGAACCCUUCAAAUAAAGCAGUUAAAUGAGAGAGACGGAGCUUUUGUUCGGUUUAUCCAACUGUAAAGCAUGGAUAUAUAAAAGUUUUACCAAUAAUAAAAUGAAUUACUUAUAUGUGAGAACUCUGGGGACUGGAAUUUACGUCAGUUGGUAGAGUGCUUGCCUAGUAUGCAUACAGCAUAGAUUCUGACUCCCAGGAUGAUGUAAAAACCAGGUGUGCUGGCAUACUUCUUUCUAUAUUCGGAGGACUCAGGUGUGGACAAGAGAAUGAGAGCUCCAAAGUCACCCUUGUAUGUAUAGGGAAUGUAAGGCUAGCCUUAGAUAUAUCAGCUCUUGCCUUAAAAAAGCAGGGGAGGGAAAAUUAUCACAAUUAUUUGAUAAAUUAAAUACCACGGGAGAAGGAAGAAGGUAGGGGAAGGAGGAGGUCUCCAGGAGGCAGGAUGGACCAUGAGGAUGGACCAUGAGCACAUGGCCAAGAGAAAACCUCCCUGAGGACACACAUGGAGCAGAACAAACAAAGUAAGAGCCAGUUGGCAAGUAACACUGGGCCUGUGGCUGAGAUGUGGGUUAGAAUAGCUCAGAACCUGCCCAGUUUAGGCUUAUAGCUUGUUAAUAAAAAUACCAGGUUUCUGUCUUUUAUUUGGGAGCUAUGUAUGCUAGAGUGGGGCAGAACCCCCCAUAAAGUUACUUCUAUAAAAUGCUAUACAACAGGCCUCUAGUGCUUAUGAUCUGUGAAAUCCCACUGUGGAACUAUACUUGUGCACAGUGCUGAAAUGUCCUAUCUAGUCUCAGAGAGAGAUGGAUGUAACCACUCCACUGUGCCAAGAUAUUACCAAAGCUACUGUGAUGUCCUGCAGAGCACGGCUGUGCCCAAUAAUGCUUUAUUUAUGGAUACAGAAGUUUGAAUUCCAUAUGAUUUUUGUUAUCAUGAGUUUUCUGAUUUUUUUUUCUCAACUUUUCAAACUGGUUUAACUAAGAAAAAGAAACAAAAGAAAACAACCAUCUUCAGCUCAUGUGCUAUACAAAGCAAGUGCUGGGCUGCACUUGGCCCAAGGGCGGCGGCAGUGUGUUAAUUAGCAGAGUAGUCAAGCAUAGAAGCAUACUGCUCUCUAAUGAGGAGCACAGGACAGAAAUCUCUGGGGAAGGUUUUCUUACUAAAUUGCUAAUACUUAAUGUAUUACAAAAAUGAAAGUAUAGUUGAAAAGCAUAGAUAUAUUACAGUAUAUGAAAACAAUGGACAUAUAAAAAUAGAAAUAUAUUAAUUUAAUUGCUUUCUUAAGUUCAUGAAGCCAUGGUCAAAUUAGUUAUAAAAAUUACUUUUAAACAUGUGUGUGAUUUAUUGCUAUGUGUUCAACAACAGAAAUAGCUUAUAAAUUAAUACAUUUUGUACUAGCUAUAUAUUAGCAGGUUAGUGACAACAAUUUGUGUGAUGACUAUAUGUGAUGGAAGAAAAAUCUUCAGAAUAGCUCCAGGCACACUUUAGAGGUCAAAACACUUAUUACUCUGUGUGUGUGUGUGUGUGUGUGUGUGUGUGUGUGUGUGUGCGCGCGCGCACAUGUGUAGGGAUACACAUGUGUACUUGUGUGUGGAGGCUAGAGGGUGACGUGGCUUCCCUCUUCUGCAGGUACUGUCCACCUUAUUUUUGACACUGGAGCUUUCCCAUUGGCUUUGCUGUCUGAGGAGCAAACCCCAGGGUUCGUCCUCCUGCCGGGAAUUGUGUGCGCCCGCAUGCCUGGUGUUCUCACAGAGGAUCUUCACCUCAGACCUUGAAAUAAUCCACACAUAAGGAUUACAGCUCUCAUUCUGGCAAUGAAGAAACAGUCUGAGAACAGAUGAAUCUUUCUUCCAGCUCACAGAACUGAACAAAUGCACGCUCAUUCUGACUGCGGUAGAUGACUGCCCACCGUUGUUACAGUAUUUUAUGGAACAAGUGAGCACAUGAAGCAGAAAGGAGCUGCAUUGCCUGGGAACACUUAUAAUAAAGUUUCCCUCAUCACAGCCUUCUCCAGAAGUCACUGCGUCCCACCCACAGCCACCUCUGUUUCUCAUUGCUUCUAGACACUGCCUUUUACUAUUUCAACCUCUUCACGUGUGGAGUCCAUGCCAUAGGCUUCCUGUGCUCUGUUUGUGAUGCUGAGGAUAUGGCCCAGGGCCGUAUGCAUGCAGAUAAGUGCUCUAUCACCAGGCUGUAGCCUCAAACCUCAAACGUCUCUUUAUUGUUCUCCAUCCUUCACUUAUAGCAUUAGGUCAAACUCUCUUCUCAACACAAAUGUUACUAAAAACUUCUUGGCUGGGCUGGUGAAUAGCCCAUGUGCCUGCCUUUCCAGCAUGAGGACCUAAGUUCAAUCUUCAGAACCCAUGAUUUUUUUUUUGUUUGUUUGUUUUAAAGAUGAAAAAGAAGGAUGGCUUCUGAGAAACAAGAUCCAACGGGCAAAGUCUGCCUCUGACUGCCACAGUUACACUCACACAGACAUGUACUAGUAUGUGUGCACAGGAACACACAUAGAAGUUUUCUUUUCAUAAAAAUGCUCUGAAUAUGUUGAUUCUAUAUCAAGAACAGUAAUUUCCAUUAAAGACAGGCUUUAAUUCAACCUGUCUUUUUGGAAAGUUUCCUUAAACAACAGCAUUCAUUAAACAACCUCUUCACUGAGGAUGCGCAGACAGGGUUUUUCAAGAUGAGUCACACCUCUCUCUCUUCCUCAGUCUAUCACACACACUUAUGAAAGUCUGAAAAUAAGAUUAAUCCAACCAAAGUAGCUUUAUAUAUUGGUGUAACAUUUUUGAACUCCUUGUAAAGAUAGUGUCAACAUGAAAAAUACUUAAGGAUAAUUUCUAACAGUGGCUCACAACUGCAUAAAUCAAACCUGCUAUUAACUUCUAUAGAAAAUCCAUCUAGAUAAUAUUCAAAUUUUCAUGUCAGUAUCUUUUUCCUCAUAAAACUUUAAACUUUAUUAUUACCUUUCAUCAACUGAUGGCUCUUUCUGUUGCAAAUGAGGCUUGACUCCAAACAUUGGGCGAAUAUUUGUUGAUAAGGCUCUGAUGGUAUAGCUAAUUUCAUUCUCUCUUGUAACAUCGCUGUCAUAGCCUGUCAUUAAGAUACACAUGUUAUUAAAUGAUAAGGUGAUCAAUUACAUUCUUAUAAAUUCAUCUUCUUCCAACAAUAUAAGGUAAAUUGUUAAAGAUACAUACUAAAUAUGCAACUAGAAAAAUUAAUGUGAAUAACAUUUAAUAUGUAAUAGUAUCUAAUAAUUGUCACUAAUUGUACAUUACUGCAAGCUACAAAAAUGUGUUUAAUUAUCUCAUUUUUACUAAAAGUACUAUAUACAUAAGUGUACGCAUACAUUAAUAUGUACCCUCAACUGUUAAGUGUGAAUGGCUAAGUUAUUCAUCCAUUCUGCGUUUUUAUAAUUACUGAUAUUACUGGCACAUUAAGAAAAUCAAAAUCAUCUUAAAAUAUAAAGUUCAAUAAUAUAAAAGCUUUUAUAGCACUUAUUUAAAAUAUGAUUAGCUGUUUUACAGAUGAUAAGUAUCUAAGUCAUCAAUGCACGCCAGUCAUGAGUCACAAAAACAAUUUUGCUGUAAAGCUGACCAAAACACUAAUAACACAAUUGUUCAAACGUGAUUACUAUUUUUAACUUCUGUAGUUUGAAUCAGUGAAGCUACUUUUUCUGUAUUUUUGAUAAAGCGUUUUUAAAUGAAAUACCUCCAUCUUCUUCAGAAUCUAUAUCAGACUCUUCACUGUCACAGUACUUCUUUUCUCGAUGGCUCUCCACUUCAUUUGUCCAUACCAUUAAGGACAUAUCUGCUCCUCCCAGGGUAACCAGCAUGCUGUCAUCAUAAGUCCAGCGAACAUUUGUGACAUGUGUGCUGUGAGCCACAUACUUCUUAAACUUUCCAAAUUUUCCCUGAAGAUAAAGUGAAUCCAAACAUUCUUUCCCAAUUCUAGUCUGAACACUUUUGUUUUUAAAUACAUAAUAUAUAUAAUAAGUAGACACAUAUAAUUAUAAUUAUAUUUAACUUCAAUUCACUUGUGCUUUCAUUGGUAAGUACCACAUACACAUAUUACACACAUUGUCUGUCUGUCUGUCUGUCUGUCUCCCCCUUCCUCUCUCUUAUCUUUUAGUGUUCCAUAUCUGAUAGACAGGCAGUAGGCACUCUACUGAAGAACUACAUUCUCCAGAACUGGAAUACUGUUUUGAAUUCCAAGGGAACUGUAAGUUAUAGACCCCGGAAAGUUUAGUUGUGCAAGUAAAUUUGAGAUCAGUAAACUAUAAGUGGUUUUAAGUGAACACUUUUCAAAGUUGUUAAAAUAAAGUUUCCCACAUUAACAAAGCAGAAGGGUGAGGGAGGUGGUUCUGCAUGUCAAGGUGCCUGCUAUCAAGUCGAAUGAUUGGAGUGUGAUCCCUAGGAGCCAUACUGGAGGAGAGGGCCAACUUCAGCAGGGGUCCUCUGACCUCCAUGUGCCAUGGCAUAUAGUGCUCAUACACACACAUACAUGUGUGCAUAUACCCACACACACACAAGUAAAUAAGAGAAAAUGAGUGAAUUCUCUUGGGGGGAGACAAUCAAAAUUAGGGGUCUGGUGAGAAGGCUGAGUAGAAAAAGGUACAGCACUAACCCCGAGUUUAAUUCUCAGAACACUUGGUGGAAGAAGAGAACCAAUUCUCUCAGGUUGUCCUCUGGCCUCCACAUGUCCGUAGGCUAUAAGGCACAUAUGCUUCCCCCCACAAAUAGAUGAAAUAAAGACCUGCUGUUGCUCUUGUUGUUAA
Long non-coding RNA from Mus musculus (house mouse), 5798 nucleotides. RefSeq annotates it as predicted gene, 35463. The transcript is spliced from 3 exons. NCBI's taxonomy places the organism in Eukaryota, Metazoa, Chordata, Mammalia, Rodentia, Muridae. The record is from RefSeq and is a predicted model, not a curated record.